RNAcentral lists this ribosomal RNA (648 nucleotides) under Triticum aestivum (bread wheat). RNAcentral describes it as "partial small subunit ribosomal RNA". Lineage: Eukaryota; Viridiplantae; Streptophyta; Magnoliopsida; Poales; Poaceae. The record is from RNAcentral.
AUGGGCCGACGGCACCGUCUACGUCGGCUUCUGGAAGCGAGACGGCCUGAGCGGCAUUGUCCAGCAGAAGGGCGUCUACCAGUACCACCCGUCUCCGGCGGCGGCGUCCCCGACAGCGCGCGACCCCCGCGAUGGCUUCGCGAGGGAACUGCCGGGGUUCACGUCGGCGCCACCGAGUCCACGCCGCUGCAGAGGCCGCUCAACAGUUCGGGUAACCGGACGGCCAAUGGGCGGGCGAGCUCCGUGUCCGGGAUGAGCAAUUGCUCCGUCGGCGACCCGAAGUACGACAAGAUUUGCAUCUGGGAGUCGGACGGCGACAUCACCUGUGACAUUGUGGACGGGGCCGCUCUGUUGGACGACGCGCGGAGGAGCGUGAGGAUGCAGGACGGCGGGGAGAGCGCGGCGCUUCUGCCUCCGCCGUCCCAGGCGCCGCGCAUUGCCAAGUCAAGUGGGUGUCCCCGUCGCUGGCGAAGCAACAGGGAGACCAUCGUCAAGGGACACAAGCACUACGAGCUCAUGCUGAACUUGCAGCUCGGGAUCAGGGAUGGAUUGAAGUGGUGCUGGGACAUGUAUAGAGAAGGAGCCCACCUGUAUGGACAAGUUUUGAAUUGGGAUGUGCUGUUUCCUACCUGGUGGUGUAGACGUUAG